Molecule: ribosomal RNA, 388 nt
Filed under: uncultured bacterium
Lineage: Bacteria
Description: bacterial SSU rRNA
Rfam family: Bacterial small subunit ribosomal RNA
Source: RNAcentral
GACGAACGCUGGCGGCGUGCUUAACACAUGCAAGUCGAGCGGUAAGGCCCUUUCGGGGGUACACGAGCGGCGAACGGGUGAGUAACACGUGGGUGACCUGCCUUUAGCUCUGGGAUAAGCCUGGGAAACCGGGUCUAAUACCGGAUAUGACUCCAUGACGCAUGUUGUGGGGUGGAAAGCCUUGUGCGGCUGAGGAUGGGCCCGCGGCCUAUCAGCUUGUUGGUGGGGUGANGGCCUACCAAGGCGACGACGGGUAGCCGGCCUGAGAGGGCGACCGGCCACACUGGGACUGAGACACGGCCCAGACUCCUACGGGAGGCAGCAGUGGGGAAUCUUGCGCAAUGGGCGAAAGCCUGACGCAGCGACGCCGCGUGAGGGAUGACGGCCU